RNAcentral lists this RNase P RNA (378 nucleotides) under Microbulbifer salipaludis. RNAcentral describes it as "RNase P RNA component class A". It matches the Rfam family "Bacterial RNase P class A". Rfam says of the family: Ribonuclease P (RNase P) is a ubiquitous endoribonuclease, found in archaea, bacteria and eukarya as well as chloroplasts and mitochondria. Lineage: Bacteria; Pseudomonadati; Pseudomonadota; Gammaproteobacteria; Cellvibrionales; Microbulbiferaceae. The record is from RNAcentral.
CGAGCCAGCCAGGCAAUCGCUGUUUCACUGCUUUCGAGUGGUGAGGUGGAGGAAAGUCCGGGCUCCAUAGGGUGGAACGCCAGGUAACGCCUGGGGGGCGCGAGCCUACGGAAAGUGCAGCAGAGAGUAGACCGCCGAUGGCUUCUUCGGGAGCACAGGUAAGGGUGAAAGGGUGCGGUAAGAGCGCACCGCGCGACUGGUAACAGUUCGCGGCACGGUAAACCCCGUUCGGAGCAAGACCAAAUAGGCCCCCGAUAGCGAAAGCUUGUAGGUGUGACCCGCACUGGGGGCGGGUAGGUCGCUUGAGGUGUCUGGUGACAGGCAUCCCAGAUGAAUGAUUGUCCUCGACAGAACCCGGCUUAUCGGCUGGCUCAACAA